This 273-nucleotide ribosomal RNA is filed under the name uncultured bacterium. RNAcentral describes it as "partial 16S ribosomal RNA". It matches the Rfam family "Bacterial small subunit ribosomal RNA", at positions 524 to 790 of the family's 1533-position model. The record is from RNAcentral.
UACGUAGGGUGCGAGCGUUAAUCGGAAUUACUGGGCGUAAAGGGUGCGCAGGCGGCCCUGUAAGACCGGUGUGAAAUCCCCGGGCUCCAACCUGGGAAUUGCGCUGGUGACUGCAGGGCUAGAGUACGGUAGAGGGGGGUGGAAUUCCUGGUGUAGGCAGUGAAAUGCGUAGGAGAAUCAGGAGGAACACCGAUGGCGAAGGCAGCCCCCUGGGCCUGUACUCGACGCCUCAUGCACGAAAGCGUGGGGAGCAAACAGGAUUAGAUACCCGGU